GGCUGGGUUGAAAAAUGGCUACAGUGGAAUGGACAUGAUGUCCUACAGCAGUGAACAGGGAGAUCCAAGCAAUACAUCAGAAAGCGGACCAGGGAUUGCAUGGUGGAGAAAUUGAGGCCACAACUGAUGAAGUCAUUUGCUUUCAAAUCAGACUGCAGUCAGUGAUGGUACACAUUAUCUUCUGAAAAAAUGGACACAUGAUUCAUUCUGUAAAAGGGAACAGGAUGCAGCCCACCAACUAUCGUUAGGAGAUGACCAGAAGCAAGACCUUGGAGAUGGUAUAACUUGGGACUGAAAAAGAGACUGGAACAUGAAAGACAACAUGUAACUGGUAACAGA
Alligator sinensis (Chinese alligator) is the source of this 339-nucleotide long non-coding RNA. RefSeq lists it as uncharacterized. Lineage: Eukaryota; Metazoa; Chordata; Crocodylia; Alligatoridae. The record is from RefSeq and is a predicted model, not a curated record. The transcript is spliced from 3 exons.